CUGGCUCAGGAUGAACGCUAGCGACAGGCCUAACACAUGCAAGUCGAGGGGCAGCACAAGGAGCAAUCUGAGGUGGCGACCGGCGCACGGGUGAGUAACACGUAUGCAACCUGCCUGUAAGCGGGGAAUAACCCGUUGAAAGACGGACUAAUACCGCAUAAUACUAAAUUACUGCAUGGUAAUUUAUUUAAACAUUUAUGGCUUACAGAUGGGCAUGCGCAUGAUUAGCUAGUUGGAGAGGUAACGGCUCCCCAAGGCAACGAUCAUUAGGGGUUCUGAGAGGAAGGUCCCCCACACUGGUACUGAGACGCGGACCGGACUCCUACGGGAGGCAGCAGUGAGGAAUAUUGGUCAAUGGACGAGAGUCUGAACCAGCCAAGUCGCGUGCAGGAAGAAUGUUCCCUAUGGAUUGUAAACUGCUUUUGCAGGGGAAUAAAGUGCAUCACGUGUGAUGUUUUGUAUGUACUCUGCGAAUAAGGAUCGGCUAACUCCGUGCCAGCCGCCGC
This 506-nucleotide ribosomal RNA is filed under the name uncultured bacterium. RNAcentral describes it as "bacterial SSU rRNA". It matches the Rfam family "Bacterial small subunit ribosomal RNA", at positions 19 to 518 of the family's 1533-position model. The record is from RNAcentral.